UGGAAGUAAAAAUCGUAACAAGGUCUCCGUUGGUGAACCAGCGGAGGGAUCAUUACAGAGUUGCAAAACUCCCUAAACCAUUGUGAACGUUACCUAUACCGUUGCUUCGGCGGGCGGCCCCGGGGUUUACCCCCCGGGCGCCCCUGGGCCCCACCGCGGGCGCCCGCCGGAGGUCACCAAACUCUUGAUAAUUUAUGGCCUCUCUGAGUCUUCUGUACUGAAUAAGUCAAAACUUUCAACAACGGAUCUCUUGGUUCUGGCAUCGAUGAAGAACGCAGCGAAAUGCGAUAAGUAAUGUGAAUUGCAGAAUUCAGUGAAUCAUCGAAUCUUUGAACGCACAUUGCGCCCGCCAGCAUUCUGGCGGGCAUGCCUGUUCGAGCGUCAUUUCAACCAUCAAGCCCCCGGGCUUGUGUUGGGGACCUGCGGCUGCCGCAGGCCCUGAAAAGCAGUGGCGGGCUCGCUGUCGCACCGAGCGUAGUAGCAUACAUCUCGCUCUGGUCGCGCCGCGGGUUCCGGCCGUUAAACCACCUUUUUAACCCAAGGUUGACCUCGGAUCAGGUAGGAAGACCCGCUGAACUUAAGCAUAUCAAUAAGCGGAGGAA
Molecule: ribosomal RNA, 602 nt
Filed under: Chaetomium globosum
Lineage: Eukaryota; Fungi; Ascomycota; Sordariomycetes; Sordariales; Chaetomiaceae
Description: eukaryotic LSU rRNA
Rfam family: 5.8S ribosomal RNA (bases 231-384)
Source: RNAcentral